GGUUAAGCGACUAAGCGUACACGGUGGAUGCCCUGGCAGUCAGAGGCGAUGAAGGACGUGCUAAUCUGCGAUAAGCGUCGGUAAGGUGAUAUGAACCGUUAUAACCGGCGAUUUCCGAAUGGGGAAACCCAGUGUGUUUCGACACACUAUCAUUAACUGAAUCCAUAGGUUAAUGAGGCGAACCGGGGGAACUGAAACAUCUAAGUACCCCGAGGAAAAGAAAUCAACCGAGAUUCCCCCAGUAGCGGCGAGCGAACGGGGAGCAGCCCAGAGCCUGAAUCAGUGUGUGUGUUAGUGGAAGCGUCUGGAAAGGCGCGCGAUACAGGGUGACAGCCCCGUACACAAAAAUGCACAUACUGUGAGCUCGAUGAGUAGGGCGGGACACGUGGUAUCCUGUCUGAAUAUGGGGGGACCAUCCUCCAAGGCUAAAUACUCCUGACUGACCGAUAGUGAACCAGUACCGUGAGGGAAAGGCGAAAAGAACCCCGGCGAGGGGAGUGAAAAAGAACCUGAAACCGUGUACGUACAAGCAGUGGGAGCCUCUUUAUGGGGUGACUGCGUACCUUUUGUAUAAUGGGUCAGCGACUUAUAUUCUGUAGCAAGGUUAACCGAAUAGGGGAGCCGAAGGGAAACCGAGUCUUAACUGGGCGUUAAGUUGCAGGGUAUAGACCCGAAACCCGGUGAUCUAGCCAUGGGCAGGUUGAAGGUUGGGUAACACUAACUGGAGGACCGAACCGACUAAUGUUGAAAAAUUAGCGGAUGACUUGUGGCUGGGGGUGAAAGGCCAAUCAAACCGGGAGAUAGCUGGUUCUCCCCGAAAGCUAUUUAGGUAGCGCCUCGUGAAUUCAUCUCCGGGGGUAGAGCACUGUUUCGGCAAGGGGGUCAUCCCGACUUACCAACCCGAUGCAAACUGCGAAUACCGGAGAAUGUUAUCACGGGAGACACACGGCGGGUGCUAACGUCCGUCGUGAAGAGGGAAACAACCCAGACCGCCAGCUAAGGUCCCAAAGUCAUGGUUAAGUGGGAAACGAUGUGGGAAGGCCCAGACAGCCAGGAUGUUGGCUUAGAAGCAGCCAUCAUUUAAAGAAAGCGUAAUAGCUCACUGGUCGAGUCGGCCUGCGCGGAAGAUGUAACGGGGCUAAACCAUG
Molecule: ribosomal RNA, 1148 nt
Filed under: Escherichia coli
Lineage: Bacteria; Pseudomonadati; Pseudomonadota; Gammaproteobacteria; Enterobacterales; Enterobacteriaceae
Also listed under: 1 other name
Description: partial 23S ribosomal RNA
Rfam family: Bacterial large subunit ribosomal RNA
Source: RNAcentral